CUGGCUUUUGUCUGGACUUUUUUUUUCCCGGGUCCACCGCGAAGACGAGAGAACAUUGUCCAGAUCGGCGAAGCUUUCGCCCCGAGACGACCAGAUGCGGAGAACGAGCGGAACGCCUGUUUCGCGAGCAGCUCGCGAACUUGGCACGGCAGGAGCACGUACGUCGUGCCAAAAAUAGCGUCGGCGUGGCGGUUAAGCCGUUAGAGGAGCGAACGUUUUUGCGUCGCGACGCCGCCGCCGCCGUCGUCGCGCUGUCCGGGGAAACCCGUCGAGGACGCAACGCCACGACGCGGCAUGACGUUGCACGCUGCUCCGUCGACAGAGAACGAAAAGUCGAAUGUUUACUAUUCUCGGCUACAAAAAGAAAUCUCGACAGAAUGCAACAGGCUGUAACUUCCGCGGGAAUAACCUUAACGAGACGAUGCCGAAGGCACUUUACACGGCUCGAAGUCUUUAGUUUGCGGAGAUUUUUUUCAAUAAUGUUUAUUUGUUUUUUAAGACGUUACACGAAUAUGUAAAUGGGGCUGCGACAACUACCAGCAUUCUUAAGUCGCGAUACUGUCUUGUCAAUUUGUACUGCGAGAACGAAAAAUUAUAUGCAAAUAUGCAGCGUUUAUAUCA
Molecule: long non-coding RNA, 621 nt
Organism: Odontomachus brunneus
Lineage: Eukaryota; Metazoa; Arthropoda; Insecta; Hymenoptera; Formicidae
Exons: 2
Source: RefSeq, a predicted model, not a curated record